RNAcentral lists this ribosomal RNA (465 nucleotides) under Vreelandella stevensii. RNAcentral's name for it is "partial 16S ribosomal RNA". It matches the Rfam family "Bacterial small subunit ribosomal RNA", at positions 338 to 795 of the family's 1533-position model. The record is from RNAcentral. Lineage: Bacteria; Pseudomonadati; Pseudomonadota; Gammaproteobacteria; Oceanospirillales; Halomonadaceae.
CCUACGGGUGGCAGCAGUGGGGAAUAUUGGACAAUGGGCGAAAGCCUGAUCCAGCCAUGCCGCGUGUGUGAAGAAGGCCUUCGGGUUGUAAAGCACUUUCAGUGGGGAAGAAAGCCUUGGGGCUAAUACCCUCGAGGAAGGACAUCACCCACAGAAGAAGCACCGGCUAACUCCGUGCCAGCAGCCGCGGUAAUACGGAGGGUGCGAGCGUUAAUCGGAAUUACUGGGCGUAAAGCGCGCGUAGGCGGUCUGAUAAGCCGGUUGUGUAAGCCCCGGGCUCAACCUGGGAACGGCAUCCGGAACUGUCAGGCUAGAGUGCAGGAGAGGAAGGUAGAAUUCCCGGUGUAGCGGUGAAAUGCGUAGAGAUCGGGAGGAAUACCAGUGGCGAAGGCGGCCUUCUGGACUGACACUGACGCUGAGGUGCGAAAGCGUGGGUAGCAAACAGGAUUAGAUACCCCAGUAGUC